This 1250-nucleotide ribosomal RNA is filed under the name metagenome. RNAcentral's name for it is "bacterial LSU rRNA". It matches the Rfam family "Bacterial large subunit ribosomal RNA", at positions 1691 to 2925 of the family's 2925-position model. The record is from RNAcentral.
UGAGAGAACCCUGGUUAAGGAACUCGGCAAAUUGACACCGUAACUUCGGGAGAAGGUGUGCCGCUGGCGGUUAGUGACUUCGCGUCACGAAGCUGUUGGUGGUCGCAGUGAAAUGGCGGUUGUGACUGUUUACUAAAAACACAGGACUCUGCGAAGUCGUAAGACGACGUAUAGGGUCUGAUGCCUGCCCGGUGCUGGAAGGUUAAGGGGAUAUGUCAGCGCAAGCGAAGCAUUGAACCGAAGCCCCAGUAAACGGCGGCCGUAACUAUAACGGUCCUAAGGUAGCGAAAUUCCUUGUCGGGUAAGUUCCGACCUGCACGAGGGCAUAACAACAUCCGCACUGUCUCGACCAGGGACUCAGCGAAAUUACAUUGGGGGUGAAGAUGCCCUCUACCCGCGGAAAGACGGAAAGACCCCAUGAACCUUUACUGCAACUUGGCAGUGAUUUUCGGGUUGUUCUGCGUAGGAUAGGUGGGAGGCUUUGAAGCCGGGCUUCCGGGUUCGGCAGAGCCAACGUUGAAAUACCACCCUGAAUAAUCUGGAAAUCUAACCUGCGCCCAUGAUCUGGGCGAGGGACACUGCCUGGUGGGCAGUUUGACUGGGGCGGUCGCCUCCUAAAUUGUAACGGAGGCGUGCGACGGUUCCCUCAGGCUGAUUGGAAACCAGCCGUAGAGUGCAAACGCAUAAGGGAGCUUUACUGCGAGACUGACAAGUCGACCAGUUGCGAAAGCAGGUGUUAGUGAUCCGGUGGUACCACAUGGAAGGGCCAUCGCUCAUCGGAUAAAAGGUACUCUCUGGAUAACAGGCUGAUCGCGCCUGAGAGUUCACAUCGGCGGCGCGGUUUGGCACCUCGAUGUCGGCUCAUCGCAUCCUGGGGCUGGAGCAGGUCCCAAGGGUUUGGCUGUUCGCCAAUUAAAGCGGUACGCGAGCUGGGUUUAAAACGUCGUGAACAGUUUGGUCCCUAUCUUCCGUGGGCGCAGGACACUUGAGAGGAGCUAUCCAUAGUACGAGAGGACCUGGAUGGACGAACCUCUGGUGCUCCGGUUGUCACGCCAGUGGCAUAGCCGGGUAGCCAUGUUCGGAACAGAUAACCGCUGAAGGCAUAUAAGCGGGAAGCUGGCCUCAAGACUAGGUGUCCCUGACGCAAGUCACUAAAGGCCCCUCGAAGACUACGAGGUUGAUAGGCUCGGUGUGGAAGCACAGCGAUGUGCGGAGCUAACGAGUACUAAUAGGCCGUGCGGCUUGACCUC